AACAAGAAGAAGAAAAAAA
RNAcentral lists this small RNA (19 nucleotides) under Arabidopsis thaliana (thale cress). RNAcentral describes it as "ATSL189300". The record is from RNAcentral. Lineage: Eukaryota; Viridiplantae; Streptophyta; Magnoliopsida; Brassicales; Brassicaceae.